AUGGAUGUAGGAAGUGGAUUUCUCUCUGUGUCCCCAGUCAUCUGAGUCUCCUGAUGUGGGCACACUGUAUCACAAGUCAAAUGGAAGUGUCUCACUGUUCUGGUCUCCCCAGGAUCUUCAGCCACCAAGAUAUCAAGGCCAAUCUGGCAGCAGGGAUGAGAAGGCCUCAUGAAGGCGUCUACAAGGGACUGGGGCAGAAGACAUGAGGCCUGGGCAGUGCUGCAUCAACCCAGAUGGAUUUCUAGAGUGCUGGGUCUGGCCUGUCCUGGCUGUGGCACCAGAAGAGACAGCGUCAGGUCUGUUUAGAGGUGACAGCAUCAAGCCCACCACGCCUGCCCUGCAAGCAUGUAUCUGGGUAUCUGCAAUGUGGUGUGAAAAGCCCUGCCACCCCAAGGCAGCUGGGCAUUACCUUCGUGUACUGACACCAGCUUCCUGUGACUGACAGUUGGCUUUUGCUCAGGGCACUCACCUAGCCACAUUGGACAGGUCCAAGUGCUUCUGAACCUCCAGCAGAACCUCCCGGAAGAAGCGCAGGCGCUUCUCUUCAAACUGCUGACACUGCUCGAACACCUGCUCCAUGUUCUCCAUGUACUGGGGUGUGGUCUGAUCAAGCUCCUUCAGGGCCUUCUCAUACUUGUCCUUGGUCUGUGUUCAAAAUGCCAUAGACAGAGACUGUAUGAAACCUAGAGUUCAUGGAUUCAGCUACACAGGUUGGCCAGCAACUGCCCAGGAUCCUCUCAUCUCUGUUUCACACAACUGGGACUACAGGUCUUCCACAGCAGGCUCCCAAUGAAACCAUGAGCGAGCAGUAAAGCGACAGAGUCACCAGGAGAGCAUGUGGUGCUACAGAGAUCAGCUGUCAGGAGUUCUUUCCAGAAGACCAAGUUCAAUUCCCAGCACCUAUGUUAGGUGGCUCACAACUGACUAGCUCCAGCUCCAGGAGGAUCUCAUCUGGCUCCUGUGGGUACACACACACACUAUUAUUUGAAAAUCUGCAAGGGAAUUAAUUUCU
Long non-coding RNA from Mastomys coucha (southern multimammate mouse), 1012 nucleotides. RefSeq lists it as uncharacterized. The record is from RefSeq and is a predicted model, not a curated record. The transcript has 4 exons. Lineage: Eukaryota; Metazoa; Chordata; Mammalia; Rodentia; Muridae.